This 811-nucleotide long non-coding RNA is filed under the name Neogale vison (American mink). RNAcentral describes it as "Neovison vison (American mink) lncRNA (ENSNVIG00000011517.1)". The record is from RNAcentral. Lineage: Eukaryota; Metazoa; Chordata; Mammalia; Carnivora; Mustelidae.
UCUCAGGGGACGGGCCUGACCAGGAGUCAGCUUCCAGUGUCCCUGAAAAGAUGAGGAACCAACAGAGGCCUUCCCUUCACGGUGGCUGUUUAUGCAAGUCCCUCAUCAUGACAGAGAUGAAGAAAGAGCCCCAGAGACAGGGGCGUGAUCUGUCCAAGGUCACUGAGCUCCACUUACAUAAGCAUUUCAUUUCAAAGCUGCCUAAAAUAAUUGCUAAAGCAAAUAGCCCUCGCCUUCCGAGGGCCAGCCAAGACUGUAGCCCAGCGAGUUCACAGGAGGUCUGAUCGAUGAGGCUGGGCACGCUUUGAAGGCCUUUGCCACCCUCCACUGUGGCUGCUGUCAUCCCAGCUCUGCCUGCCCCUCGGGCGGAACCAGGUUCCUUGACCCGACUCUGAGAAAUCGCUCCCCUCCCAGUCAGGCUCUGGGACAGCUCUGCUGCGUGACGUCCCCCGGGCCAGGUUCCCCUCCGCAGAGAGAAGCCCCCACAGGACACCCCCCUACGGCUCCUCCUCCUGGCUGUCUGCAUUUCCCAUUGCCAGAGGCUUUUUCGAGACCCCGAGACCAUGGAUUUACGAACCCCCCACCAACCUGCUUCUGAUGGGGAUUCUGAACCUCCCACUGGGGACACUUCCUCUGACUGAUGAGGGGGUGACCCAGCUCAUUCCGGCCACCUUCUCGCUGUCGGGUCUCCCAAAACUCUGAGCUGCCUCUUCCACCUUGUCCUGAGAUCUUAAGUGGCAUUUCAUGGCUUCUCUUGGCGACAAGAGGGACGAUUUCUCAGUAGAGUCAGAUACUUGGGAUGUUUGUCUGA